RNAcentral lists this transfer RNA (73 nucleotides) under Micromonosporaceae bacterium. RNAcentral describes it as "tRNA-Glu". It matches the Rfam family "tRNA". Rfam says of the family: Transfer RNA (tRNA) molecules are approximately 80 nucleotides in length. Their secondary structure includes four short double-helical elements and three loops (D, anti-codon, and T loops). RNAcentral also lists the same sequence under 5 other names. The record is from RNAcentral. Lineage: Bacteria; Bacillati; Actinomycetota; Actinomycetes; Micromonosporales; Micromonosporaceae.
GGCCCCGUCGUCUAGCGGCCCAGGACGCCGCCCUCUCAAGGCGGUAGCGCCGGUUCAAAUCCGGUCGGGGCUA